RNAcentral lists this small RNA (753 nucleotides) under Pongo abelii (Sumatran orangutan). RNAcentral's name for it is "unitary pseudogene". Lineage: Eukaryota; Metazoa; Chordata; Mammalia; Primates; Hominidae. The record is from RNAcentral.
AUUUAUGUUACUGUUAAACACUGCUUUGUUUUACAAGUUGCUGUUGGAAUCUCAGCCAAUACUUUUCUCCUCCUUUUCCACAUCUUCACUCUCCUUCUGGAUCACAGACUAAAACCCACUGACUUGAUCAUCUGUCACUUGACCCUCGUCCACAUAGUGAACUUCUUCAUUGCACUAUUAUUGCAGUCUCCACACCUGUUUGCAUCACUGAACUUCCAGAAUGACUUCAAGUGUAAGGCACUUUCCUACCUGAGCAGGGCGAUGUGGGGCCUCUCCAUCUGUACCAUCUGCCUCCUGAGCGUGCUCCAGGCCAUCACCAUCAGCUCCAGCACCUCCUGGUAGGCAAGGUUUAAACAUAAAUCUUCAAAUUACAUUAUCCAUGUUUUCUUCUUUUUAUGGUUCCUCAACUUGUCUUUCAGUAGUAACAGGAUCUUCUACACUGUAGCUGCUUCCAAUGUGACCCAGAUAAAUGUGCUGAAUAUAGGUAAGUACUGCUCAAUUUUCCCCAUGAGCUUCAUCAUCAGGGCCACAUUUCUUAUUCUGACAAGAUUUAGGGAUGUUUUCCUGGUAGGAAUAAUGCUGUUCUCAAGUGCAUACAUGCUGACUCUCUUAUUCAGGCAUCAGAGGUGAUCCCACCACCUUCACAGCAAAGGUCCUUCCCCAGGAGCUUCCCCUGAGAAAAGGACCAUCCAGACCAUACUGCUGCUGGCAAGUUUCUCUGUGGUCAUCUAUUGGGUGGAUUUCAUCAUCUCC